UUAACUCAAAUUUGUAUGGAGUUGGAACGUUUGUCUACGUUUGCCGCUAGGGGCGCUGUUCCAAUGGCAUAAAAAUUUGAGUUA
RNAcentral lists this microRNA precursor (84 nucleotides) under Bombyx mori (domestic silkworm). Its description in RNAcentral is "mir-2807 microRNA precursor family". It matches the Rfam family "mir-2807 microRNA precursor family". The record is from Rfam by way of RNAcentral. Lineage: Eukaryota; Metazoa; Arthropoda; Insecta; Lepidoptera; Bombycidae.